CGAGGGUUCAGUAGUCCGAUGCCUUACCUGUUAUUAAAUAUACUUAUAAUAUAAUUCUUAUAUGUAUGUACAUGUGUAUAUUUUAGGUUAGUCUGCUGCUCGCUCUGCUUUCAACUCUGGGCUUCUCUUUUCUCGAGGUGAUUAUCCAUAAUCCCCAAAAAGCGUUCGUUGGGCGGAUGAUGACGAUGACUCCUGGCUGUCGGAUUGAAUGACUAAAGACAAAGUUGCCGUUGCCCAGAAGAUAAAUGCGGGAUGUAAUAUUCGCUUUUCCCGGAGCCUGUACCUGCCUCACAUACCCCAGUCAGGACAGACAGGUACUAGAUGGCGGCGUUAAUAUUUGUAGCUGCGCAGAAAUCUGUAGUCUGGCGGCGAUAAAGCAUCUUUGUGGCGACAAUGAAUCGGUGAUAAAGCUUUUUACGUGCCAGCGGGUAAAUAAAGUGCUUCUCCGUAUCUCCUCAGCCUCAUCCCUGACACAUACACAGCUGUUUCGGCUGUUGCUGUUUGUCUCUCAGCUCCAUCGCUGGUUUUGCAUAAUUUGAUGCAAGUACAUUUGCCCCAGAGAAAACGGGAGGAUACGCCAACAUGCCUUCGGCCAAAUUCGUCGGUCUCUCACACUGAACAAUCUGAUUUAAAUCUUUAAUAAAUGGGUCAGACUGUAGAACUUUUCGCAG
Molecule: long non-coding RNA, 671 nt
Filed under: Drosophila guanche
Lineage: Eukaryota; Metazoa; Arthropoda; Insecta; Diptera; Drosophilidae
Source: RNAcentral